Molecule: long non-coding RNA, 289 nt
Organism: Ananas comosus (pineapple)
Lineage: Eukaryota; Viridiplantae; Streptophyta; Magnoliopsida; Poales; Bromeliaceae
Exons: 2
Source: RefSeq, a predicted model, not a curated record
GGUAAUCCACCCCGUUUUCUUGUUUUUGUUCUUUCUUGCUCCCCAAGCAAGAAUGGUCGUGGGUUACGACCUCGAGUUGAGCGGCGACUUCGGCAGGCAAGAUGGUGACGGUGUCGAGGAGGUGCAAGACCGCAGAGAGGGUGUCGCCAGUUAGAUAUAUAGUAUACUAUCCAUUUUGGCUAAUAGAAGUUAUGAAUAUGAUAUUGUGCGUAGAUGUUCUAUUUUAAUGUAGAAGGAUGUGAUGAAGAUUGUAAACUGAGUAGUAAAAUUAAGUGGCUAUUUUCUUUCA